GGAAGGCAUGGUAGUGCAGGCAUGUAGUCCCAAAUAUGAAGCAGGAGAUUGCUUGAGUCCGGGAGUUCUGGGUUGUUGUGCACUAUGCCCAUCAGGUUUCUGCACUAAGUUCAGCAUCAGUAUGGUGACCUUCUGGCAAUUGGAGACUACCAGGUUGCCUAAGGAGGAAUGAAAUGGCCCAGGUUGGAAAUGAGCAAGUCAAAAUCCCAUGCUGAUCAGCAGUAGUAUUGCACCUGUGAAUAGUCAACUGCAUUUCAGCCUGGGCUGCAUAGCAAGACCCU
Molecule: signal recognition particle RNA, 281 nt
Filed under: Pongo abelii (Sumatran orangutan)
Lineage: Eukaryota; Metazoa; Chordata; Mammalia; Primates; Hominidae
Rfam family: Metazoan signal recognition particle RNA
About the family: The signal recognition particle (SRP) is a universally conserved ribonucleoprotein. It is involved in the co-translational targeting of proteins to membranes.
Source: RNAcentral